Molecule: transfer RNA, 72 nt
Filed under: Gallaecimonas xiamenensis 3-C-1
Lineage: Bacteria; Pseudomonadati; Pseudomonadota; Gammaproteobacteria; Enterobacterales; Gallaecimonadaceae
Description: Gallaecimonas sp. 3-C-1 tRNA
Rfam family: tRNA
About the family: Transfer RNA (tRNA) molecules are approximately 80 nucleotides in length. Their secondary structure includes four short double-helical elements and three loops (D, anti-codon, and T loops).
Source: Rfam by way of RNAcentral
UGAUUGAUAGCUCAUUAGGUAGAGCACCGAGUGUUAAUUCGGCUGUAGCUGGUUCGAGUCCAGCUCAAUCCA